This 301-nucleotide ribosomal RNA is filed under the name uncultured bacterium. RNAcentral's name for it is "partial 16S ribosomal RNA". It matches the Rfam family "Bacterial small subunit ribosomal RNA", at positions 509 to 809 of the family's 1533-position model. The record is from RNAcentral.
CAGCAGCCGCGGUAAUACAGAGGGUGCGAGCGUUAAUCGGAUUUACUGGGCGUAAAGCGUGCGUAGGCGGCUUCUUAAGUCGGAUGUGAAAUCCCUGAGCUUAACUUAGGAAUUGCAUUCGAUACUGGGAAGCUAGAGUAUGGGAGAGGAUGGUAGAAUUCCAGGUGUAGCGGUGAAAUGCGUAGAGAUCUGGAGGAAUACCGAUGGCGAAGGCAGCCAUCUGGCCUAAUACUGACGCUGAGGUACGAAAGCAUGGGGAGCAAACAGGAUUAGAUACCCCUGUAGUCCCUGUCUCUUAUCA